UCCAUCACCAGCACAAUAGCUAAUCUGGAC
RNAcentral lists this non-coding RNA (30 nucleotides) under Rattus norvegicus (Norway rat). The record is from RNAcentral. Lineage: Eukaryota; Metazoa; Chordata; Mammalia; Rodentia; Muridae.